AGCUCUGGGUAGAGCAUCAGUCUGCAGACUGAAAGGUCCUGGGUUCAAUUCCCAG
RNAcentral lists this transfer RNA (55 nucleotides) under Myotis davidii. It matches the Rfam family "tRNA", at positions 9 to 63 of the family's 71-position model. From Rfam's summary of the family: Transfer RNA (tRNA) molecules are approximately 80 nucleotides in length. Their secondary structure includes four short double-helical elements and three loops (D, anti-codon, and T loops). Lineage: Eukaryota; Metazoa; Chordata; Mammalia; Chiroptera; Vespertilionidae. The record is from Rfam by way of RNAcentral.